Molecule: ribosomal RNA, 497 nt
Filed under: uncultured bacterium
Lineage: Bacteria
Description: partial 16S ribosomal RNA
Rfam family: Bacterial small subunit ribosomal RNA
Source: RNAcentral
GAUGAACGCUGGCGGCGUGCCUAAUACAUGCAAGUCGAGCGAACAGACGAGGAGCUUGCUCCUCUGACGUUAGCGGCGGACGGGUGAGUAACACGUGGAUAACCUACCUAUAAGACUGGGAUAACUUCGGGAAACCGGAGCUAAUACCGGAUAAUAUAUUGAACCGCAUGGUUCAAUAGUGAAAGACGGUUUUGCUGUCACUUAUAGAUGGAUCCGCGCCGCAUUAGCUAGUUGGUAAGGUAACGGCUUACCAAGGCAACGAUGCGUAGCCGACCUGAGAGGGUGAUCGGCCACACUGGAAGUGAGACACGGUCCAGACUCCUAAGGGAGGCAGCAGUAGGGAAUCUUCCGAAAUGGGCGAAAGCCUGACGGAGCAACGCCGCGUGAGUGAUGAAGGUCUUCGGAUCGUAAAACUCUGUUAUUAGGGAAGAACAAAUGUGUAAGUAACUAUGCACGUCUUGACGGUACCUAAUCAGAAAGCCACGGCUAACUACGUG